GUAACGGCGAGUGAAGCGGCAACAGCUCAAAUUUGAAAUCUGGCUCCUUCGGGGCCCGAGUUGUAAUUUGCAGAGGAUGCUUCGGGUACGGGUUCCUUCCGAGUUCCCUGGAACGGGACGCCAUAGAGGGUGAGAGCCCCGUCUGGUAGGAAACCCAGCCCGUGUGAAGCUCCCUCGACGAGUCGAGUAGUUUGGGAAUGCUGCUCUAACGGGAGGUAUACUCCUUCCAAGGCUAAAUACCGGCUGGAGACCGAUAGCGCACAAGUAGAGUGAUCGAAAGAUGAAAAGCACUUUGAAAAGAGAGUCAAAUAGCACGUGAAAUUGUUGAAAGGGAAGCGCUCGCUACCAGACAUGGGUUCGGCGGUUCAACCGGGGCCACGCCCCGGGGCACUCCGCCGGCCCAGGCCAGCAUCAGCUUUCCGUCGGGGGCAAAGGCGUCGGGAAUGUGGCUCCCCUCCGGGGGAGUGUUAUAGCCCGGCGCGUCAUACCCUUCGGGGGGCUGAGGUACGCGCUUCUGCAAGGAUGCUGGCGUAAUGGUAGCUAGUGACCCGUCUUGAAACACGGACCAAGGAGUCAACCUUAUGUGCGAGUGCCCGGGCGUAAAACCCCAGCGCGGAAUGAAAGUGAACGUAGGUGAGAGCUUCGGCGCAUCACCGACCGAUCCUGAUGUCCUCGGACGGAUUUGAGUGAGAGCAUAUAGGGUUGGACCCGAAAGAAGAUGAACUAUGCGUGUGUAGGGUGAAGCCAGAGGAAACUCUGGUGGAGGCUCGCAGCGGUUCUGACGUGCAAAUCG
Molecule: unclassified non-coding RNA, 793 nt
Filed under: Gibellulopsis fusca
Lineage: Eukaryota; Fungi; Ascomycota; Sordariomycetes; Glomerellales; Plectosphaerellaceae
Description: Cephalosporium serrae var. fuscum sequence contains 28S rRNA gene
Rfam family: Eukaryotic large subunit ribosomal RNA
Source: RNAcentral